RNAcentral lists this unclassified non-coding RNA (379 nucleotides) under soil metagenome. RNAcentral describes it as "partial contains 5.8S ribosomal RNA, internal transcribed spacer 2, and large subunit ribosomal RNA". The stretch from base 1 to 119 matches the Rfam family "5.8S ribosomal RNA", at positions 35 to 154 of the family's 154-position model. The record is from RNAcentral.
GAUGAAGAACGUAGCGAAAUGCGAUAAGUAAUGUGAAUUGCAGAAUUCAGUGAAUCAUCGAAUCUUUGAACGCACCUUGCACCCUUGGCAUUCUGAAGGGUAUGCUCGUUUGAGUGUCAUUGUACUCUCACACUCCCGAUCUUUGCAUUGGGAGCAGUGGACUUGGGUUUGCUGCUUCACCGUCGCUUACCUCAAAUAGGUUAGUGCAACUCUUGGUUGGACAUAGUACGGCGUGAUAAGUGUUCUUCGCCGGUGCCUCGCAAAGAGGGUGGCCGACCGGGAUGUUGUGCUCCAAACCGUCUUCGGACAAUCUCUGACGACUUGACCUCAAAUCGAGUAAGACUACCCGCUGAACUUAAGCAUAUCAAUAAGCGGAGGA